GGCAGUCUUCACCAUUAACUCCUGUGUGUUCCUGGUCUUCUUGCUUGACCUCUCAGUUAUUACCAGAGAGUGGCAGCUACUCAUCUCAAAAGAUUGCUAAUAAGCCCACUCGGAGCAGAGUAAGGUCCAGGCACUACUUUAAGGGGUUCAUUCAAUUUUGAAACCACCUGAGGAGGUAGGUACCAUCACCCCUGCCUUACAUGAGGUGACUGAGGAUAGAGAGGUUAAGCAACUAGCCCAAGGUCACACAGCCAGUAAUAGCGAGCUGGGAUUCCAAUCCAGGGACUGUGGCUCCAGAGUCCAGGCUCUCUGAAGUUCGAAUGAGAUGACGGAUCUUGAAGUGUUCUACAAACUGUCUAGUGGUCACAUUUGACCUGCUGUUUUCUUGAAGACCUGCAUACAUCAACGGUGAGAGUUCAAGGCCAAUUUUCCUACAGAUCCAAAUGUUCAACAAGUUUACACCAUUUCCAUUUUUUUUGCACCUGAAGACGUUAUUGUGAUUUUUAGGUCACACUAUUUCAAAUCCACAGGAUUAAAAUGCACCUUCCUCCUGAAAAGUGGAGACUACUCCCUGACUCUCUCUCAGUGGUUCCAAAGGGCUCCUGGC
Molecule: long non-coding RNA, 607 nt
Organism: Sapajus apella (tufted capuchin)
Lineage: Eukaryota; Metazoa; Chordata; Mammalia; Primates; Cebidae
Exons: 2
Source: RefSeq, a predicted model, not a curated record